CGUGCCUAAUCCAUGCAACUGGAGCGGCCAGAAGGGAGCCUGGUCCCGGACGUUACCGGCGCACGGGUGAGUAACACGUGGGUAACCUGCCUGUACGACUCGGAUAACUCCGGGAAACCGGAGCUAAUACCGGAUAGUUCCUUGAACCGCAUGGUUCAAGGAUGAAAGACGGUUUCGGCUGUCACUUACAGAUGGACCCGCGGCGCAUUAGCUAGUUGGUGGGGUAAUGGCUCACCAAGGCGACGAUGCGUAGCCGACCUGAGAGGGUGAUCGGCCACACUGGGACUGAGACACGGCCCAGACUCCUACGGGAGGCAGCAGUAGGGAAUCUUCCGCAAUGGACGAAAGUCUGACGGAGCAACGCCGCGUGAGUGAUGAAGGUUUUCGGAUCGUAAAGCUCUGUUGUUAGGGAAGAACAAGUGCGAGAGUAACUGCUCGCAC
Molecule: ribosomal RNA, 441 nt
Filed under: Bacillus sp. GR1-9
Lineage: Bacteria; Bacillati; Bacillota; Bacilli; Caryophanales; Bacillaceae
Description: bacterial SSU rRNA
Rfam family: Bacterial small subunit ribosomal RNA
Source: RNAcentral